CUACGUGCCAGCAGCCGCGGUAAUACGGAGGGUGCGAGCGUUAAUCGGAAUAACUGGGCGUAAAGGGCACGCAGGCGGUGACUUAAGUGAGAUGUGAAAGCCCCGGGCUUAACCUGGGAAUUGCAUUUCAUACUGGGUCGCUAGAGUACUUUAGGGAGGGGUAGAAUUCCACGUGUAGCGGUGAAAUGCGUAGAGAUGUGGAGGAAUACCGAAGGCGAAGGCAGCCCCUUGGGAAUGUACUGACGCUCAUGUGCGAAAGCGUGGGGAGCAAACAGGAUUAGAUACCCUGGUAGUCCACGCUGUAAACGAUGUCGAUUUGGGGGUUGAACUUUGAGUUUGGCGACCGUAGCUAACGUGAUAAAUCGACCGCCUGGGGAGUACGGCCGCAAGGUUAAAACUCAAAUGAAUUGACGGGGGCCCGCACAAGCGGUGGAGCAUGUGGUUUAAUUCGAUGCAACGCGAAGAACCCUACCUACUCUUGAC
This 483-nucleotide ribosomal RNA is filed under the name uncultured bacterium. RNAcentral's name for it is "bacterial SSU rRNA". It matches the Rfam family "Bacterial small subunit ribosomal RNA", at positions 501 to 985 of the family's 1533-position model. The record is from RNAcentral.